This 258-nucleotide unclassified non-coding RNA is filed under the name Hevea brasiliensis (rubber tree). Lineage: Eukaryota; Viridiplantae; Streptophyta; Magnoliopsida; Malpighiales; Euphorbiaceae. The record is from RNAcentral.
CAGCGACCCGUUUGAAUUUACCCUUGAAGUGCUUGACCGCGAGCAGCGACGCCAUCACAGCCUCGCAUUCAUUGUCAGUCGAGCGAAAUACAUAGCGCGACUUCGGCAUCACUUCCUUGACGCCAUCCUGCGUGGUGCCAUCCCACAUCACCAGGAGCGACUGCUCUUCUUCCGCAACAGGAGCUACGCCAAGGCUNCUGUCGAGAUCAGUCCGUGGACGCUUUCGACCUUCUCCUGCAGCACCAGGCGACGGAAACG